This 73-nucleotide transfer RNA is filed under the name Nitrososphaerota archaeon. RNAcentral's name for it is "Thaumarchaeota archaeon tRNA-Cys". It matches the Rfam family "tRNA". Rfam says of the family: Transfer RNA (tRNA) molecules are approximately 80 nucleotides in length. Their secondary structure includes four short double-helical elements and three loops (D, anti-codon, and T loops). Further hydrogen bonds mediate the characteristic L-shaped molecular structure. tRNAs have two regions of fundamental functional importance: the anti-codon, which is responsible for specific mRNA codon recognition, and the 3' end, to which the tRNAs corresponding amino acid is attached (by aminoacyl-tRNA synthetases). tRNAs cope with the degeneracy of the genetic code in two manners: having more than one tRNA (with a specific anti-codon) for a particular amino acid; and 'wobble' base-pairing, i.e. permitting non-standard base-pairing at the 3rd anti-codon position. The record is from RNAcentral. Lineage: Archaea; Thermoproteati; Nitrososphaerota.
GCAGGGGUCGCCUAGCUCGGUAGGGCGCAGUUCUACAAAAACGGGGUCGUGGGUUCGAAUCCCACCCCCUGCG